This 934-nucleotide ribosomal RNA is filed under the name uncultured Verrucomicrobiota bacterium. RNAcentral describes it as "bacterial SSU rRNA". It matches the Rfam family "Bacterial small subunit ribosomal RNA", at positions 8 to 934 of the family's 1533-position model. Lineage: Bacteria; Pseudomonadati; Verrucomicrobiota. The record is from RNAcentral.
AGGGUUUGAUCAUGGCUCAGAACGAACGCUGGCGGCGUGGAUAAGACAUGCAAGUCGAGCGCUGAUUUUCCAGUAGCAAUAUUGGGAAGUCGGAGCGGCGCAAGGGUGCGUAACACGUGGGUAAUCUGCCUUAAAGUUCGGAAUAAUUCCGCGAAAGCGGGACUAAUGCCGGAUGUGACCGAGAGGUUAGAGCUGGCCGCAAGGCUGGCGCUUUUAGAUGAGCCCGCGGCCUAUCAGCUAGUUGGCGGGGUAACGGCCCACCAAGGCUAAGACGGGUAGCUGGUCUGAGAGGACGACCAGCCACACUGGAACUGAGACACGGUCCAGACACCUACGGGUGGCAGCAGUCGAGAAUUUUUCUCAAUGGGCGAAAGCCUGAAGGAGCGACGCCGCGUGAGGGAUGAAGGGCUUCGGCCUGUAAACCUCUGUCAUUUGCGAACAAACCUCAUCUGUUAACAGCGGGUGAGCUGAUAGUAGCGAAAGAGGAAGGGACGGCUAACUCUGUGCCAGCAGCCGCGGUAAUACAGAGGUCCCAAGCGUUGUUCGGAUUCACUGGGCGUAAAGGGUGCGCAGGUGGCCAUGCAAGUUCGAUGUGAAAGCCCCGGGCUUAACCCGGGAAUGGCAUUGAAAACUGCGUGGCUGGAGGAUCGGAGGGGGGACUGGAAUUCUUGGUGUAGCAGUGAAAUGCGUAGAUAUCAAGAGGAACACCAGUGGCGAAGGCGAGUCCCUGGACGAUACCUGACACUGAGGCACGAAAGCUAGGGGAGCAAACAGGAUUAGAUACCCUGGUAGUCCUAGCUGUAAACGGUGCGCAUUUGCUGUAAACGGAAUCGACCCCGUUUGUGGCGAAGCUAACGCGAUAAAUGCGCCGCCUGGGAAGUACGGUCGCAAGAUUAAAACUCAAAGAAAUUGACGGGGGCCUGCACAAGCGGUG